UGCUUGAUCUGACAGCUGUCAGCUGUAAUGUUUAUACCAAUCCUACUGUACAAAAAUGGAUCGUUUUAUUAGUUAUGUGCUGCAUUAUGGUGUUCUUGGCUGCGUUAGAGAUGCUGCUCACCAUUGCCUCUUCGUUGUUUACUUGGAGUGUCGCCUGCAGCCGCACCGCAACGAGAUUGGUGGAGGCUCCUAGCCAAACGCCAC
Lingula anatina is the source of this 204-nucleotide long non-coding RNA. The record is from RefSeq and is a predicted model, not a curated record. NCBI's taxonomy places the organism in Eukaryota, Metazoa, Brachiopoda, Lingulata, Lingulida, Lingulidae.